RNAcentral lists this long non-coding RNA (269 nucleotides) under Elaeis guineensis (African oil palm). RNAcentral describes it as "long non-coding RNA (EGUI_LNC007589)". The record is from RNAcentral. Lineage: Eukaryota; Viridiplantae; Streptophyta; Magnoliopsida; Arecales; Arecaceae.
GCGCCCUAAAUUUGUUCAUAUUAUUUUUCAUGAUUCCCCAAACAAACUGGCUGGAAAUCUCAUUUUGCACAGGCAUUUCGUGUUCAACUUGGGACAAAUACUUUAUCUUGGGUCAGUUUUUCUUGAAUCUUUAAUACAGUACUCUUUCAUAUUCACAAGUUUCUCUUUUGUUUUCCACUAUCACCUCUUGACUUGGUGUCACGUUUCAAUUUCAUCUGAUUAGAUGUCAAACGGAUCAAUUCAUCAAAAUCUAAAUAAACCUAACGCUU